CUCGGAUUUCUAGCUAACAUUUUUCCUUUCCCACUUUUGCUUGCCUCAUUACAUUGCAAGUGCUUAAAAGCAGGCUCGCUCUCUGAAUUUAUGUAGAUGCAGUAUCUAGGAGACUGAUGUGGCUCUACAAUGUGUGGCAUAAUCAAUAAAAUUAAAGCAUAGAAGUAGCACUUCUUGAUCACUUAAGACAGGGGUUUGUUAUCAUAAGGAGGAAUAUGCUUGAAAAGAUUUCAGUGAAGACACUUGUACAAGCUCUGAUAUGUACUUGGGCUUUUGAAGUAGUGGGAAAAAGAUUUCAAGAUAACUUUUUAUGAUUUCAGAAAAAGAUACCUAGUUUUUUUGUUAUAUUCAUUGCAUGCUCAACAUGGAAAGCAGUUUCAUUAAUUCCUUUUGUUUUUUUACUUCAAGAGUGGCUACAUGCAAACUAUUUUUAAUCUUUCUUUUUCUUUUGAGUGUGUCCAUGAAGAUAACAAAGAGGAAGUUGUCACAUUAUCCACAACAUCUAGGGACGUGUGUAACUUUCUUUAUUAAAGUCAGUGGUAUAUAGCUAUGUGAGAAUGAGGUGGAGUGCAGGAGAGGAAGAGGAAUCAGCUGCUCUGCUC
This 602-nucleotide long non-coding RNA is filed under the name Accipiter nisus (Eurasian sparrowhawk). RNAcentral describes it as "lncRNA (ENSANIG00000003358.1)". Lineage: Eukaryota; Metazoa; Chordata; Aves; Accipitriformes; Accipitridae. The record is from RNAcentral.